UACGUAGGGGGGCGAGCGUUUGUCCGAAGUUACUGGGCGUAAAGCGCGCGUAGGCGGGAGCGUAAGUCCGCUGUGAAAGCCCUAAGCUCAACUUAGGAGGGUCGGUGGAGACUGCGUUUCUUGAAGGUGCUAGAGGGAGAUGGAAUUACCGGUGUAGCGGUGAAAUGCGUAGAGAUCGGUAGGAACACCCGGUGGCGAAGGCGGUCUCCUGGGGCACUCUUGACGCUGGAGGCGCGGAAAAGCCUGGGGGGAGCGAACGGGG
This 262-nucleotide ribosomal RNA is filed under the name uncultured bacterium. Its description in RNAcentral is "partial 16S ribosomal RNA". It matches the Rfam family "Bacterial small subunit ribosomal RNA", at positions 524 to 777 of the family's 1533-position model. The record is from RNAcentral.